Molecule: non-coding RNA, 685 nt
Organism: Nicotiana tabacum (common tobacco)
Lineage: Eukaryota; Viridiplantae; Streptophyta; Magnoliopsida; Solanales; Solanaceae
Source: RefSeq, a predicted model, not a curated record
UCUCUGUUAGGUCUUCUUCUUUUUCAUCUCAUCUUCUUCUCUAUCUAUAGAUGAACUACCAUGAAAAUCAAAAGUAUGAGGGGGCCUUUUCUUCUCAACAUCCCACCUCAAGUUAGAGGGGAACUUAGUGACCCCUAACUUGCCCAAAAUCUCUCGAUGAGAAACCCCAAAAAGAGGCUUCGUAAAGAUGUCUGCAAGCUGUGCUUUAGAAGGAAGGAAAGAAAGAGUAAUUAACCUUGAAACAAAUUGUUGACGCACAAAAUGACAGUCAAUUUCGACAUGUUUUGUGCGUUCAUGAAAGACAAGGUUUCGGGUGAUGUGAAUCGCUGCCUUACUAUCAGAAUGAAGAGAAAUUGGUAGAGUGACUGGUGCAAAUAGAUCCUCAAGAAUUCGUACCAACCAGGAAGCCCAGUCAACAUCACAGAAUGCGAGCAAGGAGAAAGAUGCCUCAGCUGACAGUAGAAUGCCUUGUCCUAGAUCAGAGCUGAGGUAUUUAAGAACUCGUAAAGCAGUAGAGAAAUGAGACACACAUGGCUUCUGCAUGUAUUGACUUAGGAUAUUCUCCAUCAUCAGCCUAAAGCUUGAGGGCAGGAUCCAAAGGAGAACUGACUCGAGGAAAAUGAGACACAUCAAAUUCCUGCAACAUGUCUAAGGUGAAUUUCCUUGACUCACAAUAAAUCCUGCU